RNAcentral lists this ribosomal RNA (497 nucleotides) under uncultured bacterium. RNAcentral's name for it is "partial 16S ribosomal RNA". It matches the Rfam family "Bacterial small subunit ribosomal RNA", at positions 28 to 507 of the family's 1533-position model. The record is from RNAcentral.
GAUGAACGCUGGCGGCGUGCCUAAUACAUGCAAGUCGAGCGAACAGACGAGGAGCUUGCUCCUCUGACGUUAGCGGCGGACGGGUGAGUAACACGUGGAUAACCUACCUAUAAGACUGGGAUAACUUCGGGAAACCGGAGCUAAUACCGGAUAAUAUAUUGAACCGCAUGGUUCAAUAGUGAAAGACGGUUUUGCUGUCACUUAUAGAUGGAUCCGCGCCGCAUUAGCUAGUUGGUAAGGUAACGGCUUACCAAGGCAACGAUGCGUAGCCGACCUGAGAGGGUGAUCGGCCACACUGGAGCUGAGACACGGUCAAGACUCCUACGGGAGGCAGCAGUAGGGAAUCUUCCGCAAUGGGCGAAAGCAUGACGGAGCAACGCCGCGUGAGUGAUGAAGGUCUUCGGAUCGUAAAACUCUGUUAUUAGGGAAGAACAAAUGUGUAAGUAACUAUGCACGUCUUGACGGUACCUAAUCAGAAAGCCACGGCUAACUACGUG